Molecule: ribosomal RNA, 613 nt
Filed under: Meloidogyne enterolobii
Lineage: Eukaryota; Metazoa; Nematoda; Chromadorea; Rhabditida; Meloidogynidae
Description: SSU rRNA
Rfam family: Eukaryotic small subunit ribosomal RNA
Source: RNAcentral
ACCGCCCUAGUUCUGACCGUAAACGAUGCCAACUAGCGAUCCGCUGAUGGAAAUUAUAUUGCCUUGGUGGGGAGCUUCCCGGAAACGAAAGUCUUCCGGUUCCGGGGGAAGUAUGGUUGCAAAGCUGAAACUUAAAGGAAUUGACGGAAGGGCACCACCAGGAGUGGAGCCUGCGGCUUAAUUUGACUCAACACGGGGAAACUCACCCGGCCCGGACACUGUGAGGAUUGACAGAUUGAUAGCUUUUUCAUGAUUCAGUGGAUGGUGGUGCAUGGCCGUUCUUAGUUCGUGGAGUGAUUUGUCUGGUUUAUUCCGAUAACGAGCGAGACUCUAACCUACUAAAUAGCUGGUACAUACUCUUAGUGUAUACAGCUUCUUAGAGGGAUUUGCGGCGUUCAGCCGAAAGAAAUUGAGCAAUAACAGGUCUGUGAUGCCCUUAGAUGUCCGGGGCUGCACGCGCGCUACACUGGCAAAAUCAACGUGCUUGUCCUACCCUGAAAGGGGCGGGUAAACCAUUGAAAAUUUGCCGUGAUUGGGAUCGGAAAUUGCAAUUAUUUUCCGUGAACGAGGAAUUCCAAGUAAGUGCGAGUCAUCAGCUCGCGUUGAUUACGUC